This 77-nucleotide ribosomal RNA is filed under the name Mycoplasma sp. CSL7491-lung. Its description in RNAcentral is "partial 16S ribosomal RNA". It matches the Rfam family "Bacterial small subunit ribosomal RNA", at positions 1 to 77 of the family's 1533-position model. The record is from RNAcentral. Lineage: Bacteria; Bacillati; Mycoplasmatota; Mollicutes; Mycoplasmatales; Mycoplasmataceae. RNAcentral also lists the same sequence under 1 other name.
UUUUUCGAGAGUUUGAUCCUGGCUCAGGAUGAACGCUGGCUGUGUGCCUAAUACAUGCAUGUCGAGCGGAGUUCUUC